GUAGCUCAGUGGUAGAGGGCUUGCGUAGCAUGCAAGAGGCCCUGGGUUUGAUCCCCAGC
RNAcentral lists this transfer RNA (59 nucleotides) under Ictidomys tridecemlineatus (thirteen-lined ground squirrel). RNAcentral's name for it is "Spermophilus tridecemlineatus (thirteen-lined ground squirrel) tRNA". It matches the Rfam family "tRNA", at positions 7 to 64 of the family's 71-position model. From Rfam's summary of the family: Transfer RNA (tRNA) molecules are approximately 80 nucleotides in length. Their secondary structure includes four short double-helical elements and three loops (D, anti-codon, and T loops). Further hydrogen bonds mediate the characteristic L-shaped molecular structure. tRNAs have two regions of fundamental functional importance: the anti-codon, which is responsible for specific mRNA codon recognition, and the 3' end, to which the tRNAs corresponding amino acid is attached (by aminoacyl-tRNA synthetases). tRNAs cope with the degeneracy of the genetic code in two manners: having more than one tRNA (with a specific anti-codon) for a particular amino acid; and 'wobble' base-pairing, i.e. permitting non-standard base-pairing at the 3rd anti-codon position. The record is from Rfam by way of RNAcentral. Lineage: Eukaryota; Metazoa; Chordata; Mammalia; Rodentia; Sciuridae.